GGAUCUGAUGUGGUUUCAAGAAGCCCA
This 27-nucleotide non-coding RNA is filed under the name Mus musculus (house mouse). The record is from RNAcentral. Lineage: Eukaryota; Metazoa; Chordata; Mammalia; Rodentia; Muridae.